This 74-nucleotide transfer RNA is filed under the name Ovis aries (sheep). It matches the Rfam family "tRNA". Rfam says of the family: Transfer RNA (tRNA) molecules are approximately 80 nucleotides in length. Their secondary structure includes four short double-helical elements and three loops (D, anti-codon, and T loops). The record is from Rfam by way of RNAcentral. Lineage: Eukaryota; Metazoa; Chordata; Mammalia; Artiodactyla; Bovidae.
UUCCUGGCAGUCCAGUGGUUAGGACUUAGUACUUUCACUGCCAUGGCCCCAAGGUUCAAUUCCUGGUCGAGGAA